RNAcentral lists this transfer RNA (63 nucleotides) under Abaria herringbona. RNAcentral describes it as "tRNA-Thr". The record is from RNAcentral. Lineage: Eukaryota; Metazoa; Arthropoda; Insecta; Trichoptera; Xiphocentronidae.
GUUUCAAUAGCUUAAUAAAAAGUAAUGAUUUUGUAAAUCAUAGAUAAUUUAUAUUUUGAAACU